GAUGAACGCUAGCGGCAGGCCUAAUACAUGCAAGUCGAACGAUACUUUCCAGCUUGCUGGAGAGGAAAGUGGCGCACGGGUGCGUAACGCGUAUGCAACCUACCUUAAUCAGGGGGAUAGCCCGAAGAAAUUCGGAUUAACACCGCAUAAAAUCACAGCACAGCAUUGUGCAAUGAUCAAAUAUUUAUAGGAUUAAGAUGGGCAUGCGUGACAUUAGUUAGUUGGCGGGGUAACGGCCCACCAAGACCACGAUGUCUAGGGGACCUGAGAGGAUGACCCCCCACACUGGUACUGAGACACGGACCAGACUCCUACGGGAGGCAGCAGUAAGGAAUAUUGGUCAAUGGAGGCAACUCUGAACCAGCCAUGCCGCGUGCAGGAAGACAGCCCUCUGGGUCGUAAACUGCUUUUAUUCGGGAAUAAACCUACUUACGUGUAAGUAGCUGAAUGUACCGAAGGAAUAAGGAUCGGCUAACUCCGUGCCAGCCGCCGCCGUAA
This 498-nucleotide ribosomal RNA is filed under the name uncultured bacterium. Its description in RNAcentral is "partial 16S ribosomal RNA". It matches the Rfam family "Bacterial small subunit ribosomal RNA", at positions 28 to 523 of the family's 1533-position model. The record is from RNAcentral.